UGACAAAGAAUUAAUAGUUGGUAUAGGAGAUUUUAAUUUCGAAUCACAAUUGUCUUAUAUUUUCAAGAAAUAAAUAAAUACACUAUAACAGAAUUAGAUAAUAGGGACACAUGUUUAGAACACUUUUGUGUAAGUAUCCCAUUUAUAUCAAAACUUUUUAAAAAAUCUAUUAAUGCCUAAAUAUAAAGUUCAAUCCAAUCAAAAAUAAAAUGUUACUCUACUCAACCCACCCCACUCAGCCCAUUCGGCUCGAUUACAAACAAAAAAGAAAAAAAAAAAAAAAUCAAUUACCAUCUCCCCUUCUCCCCUCACUCAAUCUAUUGAAAUUCUAGAAAAAGAGCACUUUCCUCUCGUCCUCCUCCGCCACGGCAGCCAACAAGGUAGAGUUCCGGCGGUUGCUAAAUACUUAAAUAAGUAUUGGUAAAUUAGUAGUACUCGUUUUAGGUUAUAGCGACACUCUUUAACUGUCACUAUAUAUCUAGCAACCCCACAUAUAGCAACACUUUGUAAAAGUAUCGGUAAUUUAGACAGCAGUACUUUUUUUGACAUGUACUGAUAUUUAAAAGUGUUGCUAUCGACCGUUUUUUUUGUAGUGAUAAAACGAAUAGCACGUUGUCCUUCUCUCAAAAAAAAAAAAAAAAAAAAAAAAAUUGCCGUGAAGUAGUG
RNAcentral lists this long non-coding RNA (666 nucleotides) under Ananas comosus (pineapple). RNAcentral's name for it is "long non-coding RNA (ACOM_LNC035864)". Lineage: Eukaryota; Viridiplantae; Streptophyta; Magnoliopsida; Poales; Bromeliaceae. The record is from RNAcentral.